CCUUCGAUAGCUCAGUUGGUAGAGCGGUGGACUGUAGUUGGUUAUUUAUCAGAUAUCCAUAGGUCACUGGUUCGAGUCCGGUUCGAAGGA
Non-coding RNA from Halocaridina rubra (Hawaiian volcano shrimp), 90 nucleotides. The record is from the annotation of a GenBank genome assembly. Lineage: Eukaryota; Metazoa; Arthropoda; Malacostraca; Decapoda; Atyidae.